RNAcentral lists this non-coding RNA (28 nucleotides) under Gloeochaete wittrockiana. The record is from RNAcentral. Lineage: Eukaryota; Glaucocystophyceae; Gloeochaetales; Gloeochaetaceae.
CGCCCGCAAGCUCUACGGUCUCGACGCC